CUGCAAUGAUGGUUUGUGCCAGCUUGGGAAAACAGUUGUCGUAGCUGUUGUUAGAUGGCAAUGAUGGUUUGUGCCAGAGUUGGAAAACUCUUGUCUAGCUGGUACUAGGAGCUGGCCUGUGUCACUGUUUUGAAUUACUGUUUUGGUCUGGUGUAAAGUAUUGCACAUUUACACGUGAGAUAUUGGGGGUUGUUGAACCCUUAUGGUAUCAACUUGCUACCAGCUAAGCCUAUUUGUGUUUUAGAACUUUUGAUGAGUUGUUAAUAAAUUUCGGUUACCUGGAUGAUUAAGUGGAGAAAUUUAUUGCUUGACAUUGAUAGGC
Long non-coding RNA from Cyprinus carpio (common carp), 322 nucleotides. RefSeq lists it as uncharacterized. The record is from RefSeq and is a predicted model, not a curated record. NCBI's taxonomy places the organism in Eukaryota, Metazoa, Chordata, Actinopteri, Cypriniformes, Cyprinidae. The transcript has 3 exons.